AGUAGCUCAGUUGGCAGAGCACCAGACCCAGGAUCUGGAGGUCGCGGGUUCGACUCCCGUCUAACACCA
This 69-nucleotide transfer RNA is filed under the name Planctomycetales bacterium. RNAcentral describes it as "tRNA-Leu". It matches the Rfam family "tRNA". Rfam says of the family: Transfer RNA (tRNA) molecules are approximately 80 nucleotides in length. The record is from RNAcentral. Lineage: Bacteria; Pseudomonadati; Planctomycetota; Planctomycetia; Planctomycetales. RNAcentral also lists the same sequence under 1 other name.